AGUGGAAAUCACAGCAAUCGUCAGCACAAUCAAAGCCCUUCAUACGAGGAUGAUGAAUGAGUACUAAGCUCCGAUGGAGAGAUUUAAAAGAAGCAUAGCGCAGUCUACAAUAAAUAGACAUAAUUACACGAUUGUUUUCCCAAAACACAACACGCCAAUGGCAGUAAUAGACAACUCAUUUUGGAUUCUUACGCAUGUAAUACGUAUACACAUCGGCCUUUUGUUGUAGAAGAAGGAUUCAUUAUAUUUUCAGUGUGGGUGUGUUACCUCGAGCCUGGGAAACACUGCAGCUGCUGUCCAGUCCAGAAUAUGUGUGUUUUAGGCCACCACUUACGUACAUUAUUUGGAUGUUGAUGUGGAUGGGGGGAUAAAUAAAUACAAAGU
Drosophila obscura is the source of this 384-nucleotide long non-coding RNA. RefSeq lists it as uncharacterized. Lineage: Eukaryota; Metazoa; Arthropoda; Insecta; Diptera; Drosophilidae. The transcript has 3 exons. The record is from RefSeq and is a predicted model, not a curated record.